CCUACGGGAGGCAGCAGUGGGGAAUUUUGGACAAUGGGCGCAAGCCUGAUCCAGCAAUGCCGCGUGCAGGAUGAAGGCCUUCGGGUUGUAAACUGCUUUUGUACGGAACGAAACGGUGAGCUCUAAUAAAGUUUGCUAAUGACGGUACCGUAAGAAUAAGCACCGGCUAACUACGUGCCAGCAGCCGCGGUAAUACGUAGGGUGCGAGCGUUAAUCGGAAUUACUGGGCGUAAAGCGUGCGCAGGCGGUUAUAUAAGACAGAUGUGAAAUCCCCGGGCUCAACCUGGGACCUGCAUUUGUGACUGUAUAGCUAGAGUACGGUAGAGGGGGAUGGAAUUCCGCGUGUAGCAGUGAAAUGCGUAGAUAUGCGGAGGAACACCGAUGGCGAAGGCAAUCCCCUGGACCUGUACUGACGCUCAUGCACGAAAGCGUGGGGAGCAAACAGGGUUAGAUACCCUGGUAGUCCACGCCCUAAACGAUGUCAACUGGUUGUUGGGUCUUCACUGACUCAGUAACGAAGCUAACGCGUGAAGUUGACCGCCUGGGGAGUACGGCCGCAAGGUUGAAACGUUAAAGGAAUUGACGG
RNAcentral lists this ribosomal RNA (586 nucleotides) under uncultured bacterium. RNAcentral describes it as "bacterial SSU rRNA". It matches the Rfam family "Bacterial small subunit ribosomal RNA", at positions 338 to 916 of the family's 1533-position model. The record is from RNAcentral.